CCCUUAGAUGUUCUGGGCCGCACGCGCGCUACACUGAUGUAUUCAACGAGUUUCUUCCUGGUCCGAGAGGAAUGGGUAACCUUUUGAAAGUGCAUCGUGAUAGGGAUAGACUAUUGCAAUUAUUGGUCUUCAACGAGGAAUUCCUAGUAGACGUAGUUCAUCAGACUGCAUCGAUUACGUCCCUGCCCUUUGUACACACCGCCCGUCGCUCCUACCGAUUGAAUGCUCAGGUGAGCCAUUCGGACUUUCAUCAUGCUGGUUUCCAGUUUUGAUGAAGGAAAGUCUUGCGAACCUUACCAUUUAGAGGAAGGAGAAGUCGUAACA
This 324-nucleotide ribosomal RNA is filed under the name uncultured eukaryote. RNAcentral describes it as "partial 18S ribosomal RNA". It matches the Rfam family "Eukaryotic small subunit ribosomal RNA", at positions 1470 to 1796 of the family's 1831-position model. The record is from RNAcentral.